RNAcentral lists this ribosomal RNA (656 nucleotides) under Vibrio sp. Cva. RNAcentral describes it as "bacterial SSU rRNA". It matches the Rfam family "Bacterial small subunit ribosomal RNA", at positions 37 to 668 of the family's 1533-position model. The record is from RNAcentral. Lineage: Bacteria; Pseudomonadati; Pseudomonadota; Gammaproteobacteria; Vibrionales; Vibrionaceae.
UGGCGGCAGGCCUAACACAUGCAAGUCGAGCGGAAACGACAANAUUGAAUCUUCGGAGGAUUUGAUGGGCGUCGAGCGGCGGACGGGUGAGUAAUGCCUAGGAAAUUGCCUUGAUGUGGGGGAUAACCAUUGGAAACGAUGGCUAAUACCGCAUAAUGCCUACGGGCCAAAGAGGGGGANCUUCGGACCUCUCGCGUCAAGAUAUGCCUAGGUGGGAUUAGCUAGUUGGUGAGGUAAUGGCUCACCAAGGCGACGAUCCCUAGCUGGUCUGAGAGGAUGAUCAGCCACACUGGAACUGAGACACGGUCCAGACUCCUACGGGAGGCAGCAGUGGGGAAUAUUGCACAAUGGGCGAAAGCCUGAUGCAGCCAUGCCGCGUGUAUGAAGAAGGCCUUCGGGUUGUAAAGUACUUUCAGUUGUGAGGAAGGGUGUGUAGUUAAUAGCUGCGCAUCUUGACGUUAGCAACAGAAGAAGCACCGGCUAACUCCGUGCCAGCAGCCCGCGGUAAUACGGAGGGUGCCGAGCCGUUAAUCGGAAUUACUGGGCGUAAAGCGCAUGCAGGUGGUUCAUUAAGUCAGAUGUGAAAGCCCGGGGCUCAACCUCGGAACUGCAUUUGAAACUGGUGAACUAGANUGCUGUAGAAGGGGGGUAGAAUU